Molecule: transfer RNA, 70 nt
Filed under: Hydroides elegans (calcareous tube worm)
Lineage: Eukaryota; Metazoa; Annelida; Polychaeta; Sabellida; Serpulidae
Description: tRNA-Cys
Source: RNAcentral
UGCCUUGUAAUUGAAUCUACAAUAUCGUCCUGCAAAGACGAAGGUGCUAAAUAAUAGUUAGCUAAGGCAA